Molecule: ribosomal RNA, 1073 nt
Filed under: Enterobacter sp. T9
Lineage: Bacteria; Pseudomonadati; Pseudomonadota; Gammaproteobacteria; Enterobacterales; Enterobacteriaceae
Description: bacterial SSU rRNA
Rfam family: Bacterial small subunit ribosomal RNA
Source: RNAcentral
UCCCGAACUUCUUGUUGACACAGAGUUUGAUCCUGGCUCAGAUUGAACGCUGGCGGCAGGCCUAACACAUGCAAGUCGAGCGGUAGCACAGAGAGCUUGCUCUCGGGUGACGAGCGGCGGACGGGUGAGUAAUGUCUGGGAAACUGCCUGAUGGAGGGGGAUAACUACUGGAAACGGUAGCUAAUACCGCAUAACGUCGCAAGACCAAAGAGGGGGACCUUCGGGCCUCUUGCCAUCAGAUGUGCCCAGAUGGGAUUAGCUAGUAGGUGGGGUAAUGGCUCACCUAGGCGACGAUCCCUAGCUGGUCUGAGAGGAUGACCAGCCACACUGGAACUGAGACACGGUCCAGACUCCUACGGGAGGCAGCAGUGGGGAAUAUUGCACAAUGGGCGCAAGCCUGAUGCAGCCAUGCCGCGUGUAUGAAGAAGGCCUUCGGGUUGUAAAGUACUUUCAGCGAGGAGGAAGGCAUUAAGGUUAAUAACCUUAGUGAUUGACGUUACUCGCAGAAGAAGCACCGGCUAACUCCGUGCGAGCAGCCGCGGUAAUACGGAGGGUGCAAGCGUUAAUCGGAAUUACUGGGCGUAAAGCGCACGCAGGCGGUCUGUCAAGUCGGAUGUGAAAUCCCCGGGCUCAACCUGGGAACUGCAUUCGAAACUGGCAGGCUAGAGUCUUGUAGAGGGGGGUAGAAUUUCUAGUGUAGCGGUGAAAUGCGUAGAGAUCUGGAGGAUACCGGUGGCGAAGCGGCCCCCUGGACAAAGACUGACGCUCAGUGCGAAAGCGUGGGGGAGCAAACAGAUUAGAUACCCUGGUAGUCCACGCCGUAAAACGAUGUCGACUGGGAGGGUUGUUCCUGGAGGAGUGCCUUCCUGAGCUUAACGCGUUAAGUCGACGCCUGGGGGGAGUACGACCGCAGAUAAACCUCAAUUGAAUUUGACGGGCUCGCCACUCAAAGUCAGGGUGUGGGACAUGGUGGUUAAUUUCGAUGGCACCGCGAGAACCUUACCGUAACUCCUUUGGGACACUCCCGAGAAAUUUGUCUAGAAUUGGCCUGUUGUGCCCUUCCCGGAAACUCU